This 253-nucleotide ribosomal RNA is filed under the name uncultured bacterium. RNAcentral describes it as "partial 16S ribosomal RNA". It matches the Rfam family "Bacterial small subunit ribosomal RNA", at positions 524 to 776 of the family's 1533-position model. The record is from RNAcentral.
UACAGAGGUCCCAAGCGUUGUCCGGAGUUACUGGGCGUAAAGGGCAUGCAGGCGGUCGGACGCGUUUUGUGUGACAGCGGAUGGCUUACCUAUCCGAGCAUACGAAAGACGGUUGGACUUGAGGACUCGAGAGGGACCCGGAAUUCCGGGUGGAGUGGUGAAAUGCGUAGAGAUCCGGAGGAAAACCGAAGGGGAAGGCAGUGUCCUGGCGAGUGACUGACGCUGAGGUGCGAAAGCCAGGGGAGCGAACGGG